Molecule: long non-coding RNA, 466 nt
Filed under: Lactuca sativa (garden lettuce)
Lineage: Eukaryota; Viridiplantae; Streptophyta; Magnoliopsida; Asterales; Asteraceae
Description: long non-coding RNA (LSAT_LNC005377)
Source: RNAcentral
AAUCGACUGGUUACGUGUUGUUCUUGCUGAGGCAAAUGACCGUUGUGCCCACCUUGAAGAAUCGUUAAUGGAGAGAGAUAGUCUUGUGCAGCGUUGUGAAGAAGUUUUGGCAAAGACAAAUAUGCCCCUGCAUUUGCAAUCAUCAGAGCUAGAACAUAAGAUCGAUUGGUUACGUGUUGGUCAUUCGGAGGCAAAUGACCUUUGUGCCCUCCUUGAAGAAUCGUUAAUGGAGAGAAACAGUCUUGUGCAGCGUUGUGAAGAAGUUUUGGAAAAGACAAAUAUGCCCCCGCAUAUGCAAUCAUCAGACCUAGAACAUAAGAUCGAUUGGUUACGUGAUGUUUAUUCGGAGGCAAAUGACCGUUGUGCCCUCCUUGAACAAUCGUUAAUGGAGAAAAGUAGGAUUGUGCAGCGUUGUGAAGAAGUUUUGGAAAAGACAAAUAUGCCCCCGCAAUUGCAAUCAUCAGAG